Molecule: long non-coding RNA, 786 nt
Organism: Cyprinus carpio carpio
Lineage: Eukaryota; Metazoa; Chordata; Actinopteri; Cypriniformes; Cyprinidae
Source: Ensembl
UAGAAACGGGGUGAAGUUCCGAGCUCUUUUUAAUGAAAUAUGAUAGAGAUAUGAAGUUUGGAUAAUUUUCUACGGCACACCUGACUGGGCUAUAGGGUAUAUGACAACUACCAUAAUCUGCCAUAUGGAAAUGUCGCCCUGGUUCAGUCUGUGGUUAGAGCAAGAGUCAACGUCAUUUCUGGUGAGCAUUCAGCCAAUCAGCAGCGAGGUGCUCUAUUAUCGUUGCAGACCUCUCUCUGGCUGUCAUUUAAACUCCAGCCAUCUUCAUGACUACAGCCAGUUCACCCAGAGGCUCCCGCCGGGGUCUGCAGUCACGCGGGUGUCCAUCAGUGUCCAUCUGUCUGUCUGCUGUGUGGAAGACCAUGACUUCUGUCUUUCCCUGUGGGGUCACAGAAGUGGACGGUGACUCUGUGGAUUUGCUUCUCUCUGUUGAGGAGACCCGAGAACCAGUCCAGAGUUCAGUGUGUCCGAUCAGUGAGGAUGAUGAGGAUGAUGAUGCCUGAUGAAGAGGAGCAGCAUGAAGGGUCAACAGAUAAAACAACGAACUUGAAAUUCACUUUUUUCUUGACUUUGCAUGAAAUACUUUCUGUGAUCACUUACUAAAAGGAUGAUUACAAAAAAAAAGAUUUAAUUGUUUUUCAACAUUUCCAUGCUUUUAAAGUUUUGGUCUUUAGAUCAGGUUUCCUCAAAGCGUUAGCUGAUGUCCUCUUUCACGAUGUCCAGGAUGCCUUGAAAUUGAUAUUGACUCAUACGGGAGUAUGAAUAAAAUUUGUCUUUAAAAAUGGC